GAGGCCUGCCUGCCCAGUGACAAACGUUCAACGGCCGCGGUAUCCUGACCGUGCAAAGGUAGCAUAAUCACUUGUUCCUUAAUUGGGGACUGGAAUGAAUGGCCUCACGAGGAUUCAACUGUCUCUUACCUCUAAUCAGUGAAAUUGACCUCCCCGUGAAGAGGCGGGGAUACAACAACAAGACGAGAAGACCCUAUGGAGCUUUAAUUUUCUGUCUUAACUACUAAAUAACUAAUCCUACUGGGAUAAAAAAAAAGAGAAAUAAGUCAGUAAUUUCGGUUGGGGUGACCUCGGAGAAUAAGACAACCUCCGAAUGAUUUUAACCAAGACAAACAAGUCAAAGUAUUAAAAAUCAAAUUGACCCAAUUCAUUUGAUCAACGGACCAAGUUACCCUAGGGAUAACAGCGCAAUCCUAUUCAAGAGUCCAUAUCGACAAUUAGGGUUUACGACCUCGAUGUUGGAUCAGGACAUCCCAAUGGUGCAGCAGCUAUUAAUGGUUCGUUUGUUCAACGAUUAAAGUCCUACGUGAUCUG
This 534-nucleotide ribosomal RNA is filed under the name Microtus thomasi (Thomas's pine vole). RNAcentral describes it as "partial 16S ribosomal RNA". It matches the Rfam family "Bacterial large subunit ribosomal RNA", at positions 1850 to 2607 of the family's 2925-position model. Lineage: Eukaryota; Metazoa; Chordata; Mammalia; Rodentia; Cricetidae. The record is from RNAcentral.